RNAcentral lists this ribosomal RNA (492 nucleotides) under uncultured bacterium. RNAcentral describes it as "partial 16S ribosomal RNA". It matches the Rfam family "Bacterial small subunit ribosomal RNA", at positions 29 to 507 of the family's 1533-position model. The record is from RNAcentral.
AGUGAACGCUGGCGGUAGGCCUAACACAUGCAAGUCGAACGGCAGCACAGUAAGAGCUUGCUCUUACGGGUGGCGAGUGGCGGACGGGUGAGGAAUACAUCGGAAUCUACUUUUUCGUGGGGGAUAACGUAGGGAAACUUACGCUAAUACCGCAUACGACCUACGGGUGAAAGCAGGGGAUCUUUGGACCUUGCGCGAUUGAAUGAGCCGAUGUCGGAUUAGCUAGUUGGCGGGGUAAAGGCCCACCAAGGCGACGAUCCGUAGCUGGUCUGAGAGGAUGAUCAGCCACACUGGAACUGAGACACGGUCCCGACUCCUACGGGAGGCAGCAGUGGGGAAUAUUGGACACUGGGCGCAAGCCUGAUCCAGCCAUACCGCGUGGGUGAAGAAGGCCUUCGGGUUGUAAAGCCCUUUUGUUGGGAAAGAAAAGCAGCAGGUUAAUACCCCGCUGUUCUGACGGUACCCAAAGAAUAAGCACCGGCUAACUUCGUG